RNAcentral lists this transfer RNA (78 nucleotides) under Desulfosporosinus sp. OT. RNAcentral describes it as "tRNA-Met". It matches the Rfam family "tRNA". Rfam says of the family: Transfer RNA (tRNA) molecules are approximately 80 nucleotides in length. Their secondary structure includes four short double-helical elements and three loops (D, anti-codon, and T loops). Lineage: Bacteria; Bacillati; Bacillota; Clostridia; Eubacteriales; Desulfitobacteriaceae. The record is from RNAcentral. RNAcentral also lists the same sequence under 5 other names.
GGCAGGGUAGCCAAGUCGGUCUAAGGCAAGCGGUUCAUACCCGCUCAUGCGAGGGUUCGAAUCCCCCCCCUGCUACCA